GAUGAACGCUGGCGGCGUGCCUAAUACAUGCAAGUAGAACGCUGAAGCUUGGUGCUUGCACCGAGCGGAUGAGUUGCGAACGGGUGAGUAACGCGUAGGUAACCUGCCUCUUAGCGGGGGAUAACUAUUGGAAACGAUAGCUAAUACCGCAUAAAAGUCGAUAUCGCAUGAUAUUGAUUUGAAAGGUGCAAAUGCAUCACUAAGAGGUGGACCUGCGUUGUAUUAGCUAGUUGGUGAGGUAACGGCUCACCAAGGCGACGAUACAUAGCCGACCUGAGAGGGUGAUCAGCCACACUGGGACUGCGACACCGCCCAGACUCCUACGGGAGGCAGCAGUAGGGAAUCUUCGGCAAUGGGGGCAACCCUGACCGAGCAACGCCGCGUGAGUGAAGAAGGUUUUCGGAUCGUAAAGCUCUGUUGUAAGAGAAGAACGAGUGUGAGAGUGGAAAGUUCACACUGUGACGGUAACUUACCAGAAAGGGACGGCUAACUACGUG
Molecule: ribosomal RNA, 497 nt
Filed under: uncultured bacterium
Lineage: Bacteria
Description: partial 16S ribosomal RNA
Rfam family: Bacterial small subunit ribosomal RNA
Source: RNAcentral